Molecule: non-coding RNA, 21 nt
Filed under: Arabidopsis thaliana (thale cress)
Lineage: Eukaryota; Viridiplantae; Streptophyta; Magnoliopsida; Brassicales; Brassicaceae
Source: RNAcentral
UUGCCAAUGUUGAUGACUCUA